ACAACAGUUUUAGCAGGGCUCUCUCCUUUCCUGAUCUCUGUGUUAAGCUGCCUGCCUCAUUUGAUAUCACAUCCAAAUUAUCAGCUGAUUGCUCUGUUGUUUUGGACAAUGCCCUGGGGCAUACCAAAAUGUGUCUGGAAUUGGUGGGUUCUUGGUCUUACUGACUUUAAGAAUAAAGUUGCAGACUUUUGUGAUGUGUGAACCUCCAGAACUGUAAAGUAAACAACCUCAUUCAACAUCAAGCAGAAUUCAAAGAAGUCUAAAGUCUUAAUAAUUGUCUGUUCAAUCUGGGAGGAAAGGACUAAAAUAGCAUGAAUCCAGGUGAUCCACUCUACCUCAUAUUGUCUUAUAAUGGCCAUCCAGUUUAUCCUAGAGCCCUUGUAUGACACAUGCCUAUUGGAGCAUAGGAAUGCCAAUAUUUUACCUCUUGGGUACUUUCUGUGUAGAAGAUUCAUAACAAGAACAAUGCUUAUUCUGCAAUUCUUUAUAUAAAGCUCCAGAGGGAAGUGAGAAGGAUGUUCACUUGCUGGUGAGAGAAGGAGCUGGUUCCAUCCAUUAUGCAGUCCCCUGGG
This 572-nucleotide non-coding RNA is filed under the name Pongo abelii (Sumatran orangutan). Lineage: Eukaryota; Metazoa; Chordata; Mammalia; Primates; Hominidae. The record is from RNAcentral.